Molecule: ribosomal RNA, 392 nt
Filed under: uncultured bacterium
Lineage: Bacteria
Description: bacterial SSU rRNA
Rfam family: Bacterial small subunit ribosomal RNA
Source: RNAcentral
GACGAACGCUGGCGGCGUGCUUAACACAUGCAAGUCGAGCGGUAAGGCCCUUUCGGGGGUACGACGAGCGGCGAACGGGUGAGUAACACGUGGGUGACCUGCCCUUACGCUCUGGGAUAAGCCUGGGAAACUGGGUCUAAUACCGGAUAUGACUCCAUGACGCAUGUUGUGGGGUGGGAAAGCCUUGUGCGGCUAGGGAUGGGCCCGCGGCCUAUCAGCUUGUUGGUGGGGUGAUGGCCUACCAAGGCGACGACGGGUAGCCGGCCUGAGAGGGCGACCGGCCACACUGGGACUGAGACACGGCCCAGACUCCUACGGGAGGGCAGCAGUGGGGAAUCUUGCGCAAUGGGCGAAAGCCUGACGCAGCGACGCCGCGUGAGGGAUGACGGCCU